GUGUCAGCAGCCGCGGUAAUACGGAGGGUGCAAGCGUUAUCCGGAUUCACUGGGUUUAAAGGGUGCGUAGGUGGAUUGGUAAGUCAGUGGUGAAAUCUCCGGGCUUAACUCGGAAACUGCCAUUGAUACUAUCAGUCUUGAAUACCGUGGAGGCCAGUAGAAUAUGUCAUGUAGCGGUGAAAUGCUUAGAUAUGACAUAGAAUACCAAUUGCGAAGGCAGCUGGCUACGCGAAUAUUGACACUCAGGCACGAAAGCGUGGGGAUCAAACAGGAUUAGAAACCCGCGUAGUCC
This 292-nucleotide ribosomal RNA is filed under the name uncultured bacterium. RNAcentral describes it as "partial 16S ribosomal RNA". It matches the Rfam family "Bacterial small subunit ribosomal RNA", at positions 505 to 796 of the family's 1533-position model. The record is from RNAcentral.